This is a long non-coding RNA of Polypterus senegalus (gray bichir), 987 nucleotides long. RefSeq lists it as uncharacterized. The transcript has 2 exons. Lineage: Eukaryota; Metazoa; Chordata; Cladistia; Polypteriformes; Polypteridae. The record is from RefSeq and is a predicted model, not a curated record.
GAGAGGAUUGGUCUGGAUUUUUGAGGACAUGCAAGGACAUUGAUGAGGCAGAGCUUGUGAAUGCACCUAUGGCCCUUAUUACACUGAACAGGGACAACACCAGCAGUCCAGUUCACUACCAAUCUGAAAAUGUCUUGAUUGUUAUUGAAAGUGAAGUUGUAAUUACUCUUCCCAGGUUUGUGGAUGCCCUUGUGGUAAUGUUCAGUCUCAUAUAUGCUCUGCAUCUUAGUUAUCCCAAAGGACUAACAAACACUUUUGAAUUCUUUCAAAAGAUUUUGCUUAGUUUGGAAGAUGGCAAAUUGUCACCCAGACUGCAGACUCUAAAGAAUGAUUUGAUGAUAUAUACCUAAAAACUGAUCUGAGAAAGUGAUGUCUAGCCUUAAAAGAAUUGAAUUGAAAAAGUGCACUUUUGGCACUUAGUUUGAUAUGUAAUAUACUGAGUCACAGUAGUUGUUAAAUGUUGCCUGUUUCACUCCGUCUCACCACAAAUGUUGAGUUUGAACCAGUGUACUGAGCUCACUUUUUUGUUCAACUUGGAAGAAUUUAAUAUGUUCAUAAACAAUAUGUGCAUUUAAUAUGUAAUAUAAUUCAAAUAACAUGCACUACUUCAUGGCUGCCUGUAGUCUCAUCCAUUGUUGGUGUCAUUUUAAAGUUUCUUAACUUGAAAAGACAAUUUCAAAUCUAAUACUCUUAAUGAGAUGAGAGGAAGUCUAAGAUGUACACAUAUUAAAUUGUUCUUCAGUCUGAAAAUUGUUAGAAUCUGUAGCAUAUUGGCACAAUUGGGAACACUAAAAUCCUGUAAUCCAGAACAUUUGAUCUGACACUGAUGUAGAGGUAGCCAUAAGAAUUAGAAAGGGUUAAAAUUUAAAGAAGGAUAUGUUAUUUUAUGUAACCUGUUGCACUAUGUCUGUGUAUGUUAUGUAUUUUUAUAAUAGCAAUUUAUUAAUGUUGCAGUGAAUGUUCAAAUAAAACUUUUGAAUAACAGUA